RNAcentral lists this long non-coding RNA (1497 nucleotides) under Homo sapiens (human). RNAcentral describes it as "non-protein coding lnc-TP53TG5-6:1". Lineage: Eukaryota; Metazoa; Chordata; Mammalia; Primates; Hominidae. The record is from RNAcentral.
AUUCCGCCUGCGCGGCCCCCGCCCGUACACGAGCUCCUCUGGGGUCUACUCACCAGUGACAGACUCGACGAUCGAAGUGUCUGAGCGUGGCCCGGCCUCACCGGCGGGCUCCCAAAACAGCGCUGACAGACAGGACCAUGGAGGAGAGGCGCUGCCGGCCUAGAGAGGCAAAGCUCCAGCGACCACGGCGGCAGGAGCGGCUGCGUAGGAAAGAAACGUUUCCGGGGAAAGCAGCGGAGGGGCGGGGCUGAGGUUGCGCAGGCGUAGUGGGUGCAACCUCUGCCUGAACCUCCUGAACCAGGUACAAGCAGCCGGAUAGCGAACUGAGCACAUGCGCAGAAGGAAGAGUGAAGGCAAACGGAAGAGAGGAACGAAGGCCGCAGAGCUUGCGCGCCCUCUAGAGGGGAAUUCUUUUUUUAAAGGAAGGCGGCUAGGGGAGAGGCAAGUGGGGUGGCUUAGGACGCGGUAAUGAUGUUUGGGAAUUAACGAGGUGAUAAACUGUGUCGUUAUUUUCAGCCUAAAUUCUCAAUGUUUUCUCCUAGUUAGAGUCUGAUAACUUGAAGUGGACCUGCAAGCUCCUCCACGUAGGAGUUUGCCAAUGUUCCCGCUGUACAGAUAGUUAAGCUAAGGGCCAGAGAAGGAAAGCAACAUACUGUUUCAACGACACAGUUAGUAGCAAAGUAAGUAUUAAAAUUCAAGUGUUGGUCGGGCGCGGUGGCUCACGCCUGUAAUCCCAGCACUUUGGGAGGCUGAGGUGGGCGGAUUACCUGAGGUCGGUGUUUCGAGACCAGCCUGACCAACAUGGAGAAACCCCGUCUCUGCUAAAAAUACAAAAUUAGCGGGGCGUGGUGGCGCACGCCUGUAGUCCUAGCUACUCGGGAGGCUGAGCCAGGAGAAUUGCUUGAACCCGGGAGGCAGAGGUUGCAGUGAGCCGAGAUCACGCCAUUGCACUCCAGCCUGGGCAACAAGAGCAAAACUCCGUCUCUAAAUAAAUAAAUAAAUAAAUAAAUAAAUAAAUAAAAUUCAAGUGUUUCCUCAACACUACAACAUUGAUUUCGCACCUACUCGGUGGCAGGAAGGCUAGAACAUGUAUAUAUAAGACAGCCCCUGCCCUGAGACACAGAUGAACUAUAUUAGAAGGCAGAGUAGUGGGUGUUUUAAAAUGUGGGUGUCCAGUGGAAAAAGGCACAGGUUCUGAAGUCGCACAUAGGAGUAAAUCCUGACCCUCUCUGCUGCCAUGACUGUUUUAUCUAUCUUCCAAAUCCGAAUAGUGGACAGUCAGUAAAUAUUUGCUGAAUGAGUUAAGAACAGAAAAAGCAAGAGCAAAUCGAUAACUCACUUAUUCCUACUCCAGCAGACGAAAACCCAUCAACUUCAUUGAUCCUAGGUUCCCCCUCUCUGAAGUGGAAAGACGGGAAGUAAGUUGUUCCAGGAAAAGAAUUUGGGUUUUAGGGCCAGCUAUGCCACCCAGUGUGACCAGCAAGCCACUUCCUUCUU